UGGGGUAUAGCCAAGUUGGUAAGGCACCGGGUUUUGAUCCCGCUAUUCGUUGGUUCGAGUCCAGCUACCCCAGCCA
This 76-nucleotide transfer RNA is filed under the name Salinimonas marina. Its description in RNAcentral is "Salinimonas sp. G2-b tRNA-Gln". It matches the Rfam family "tRNA". Rfam says of the family: Transfer RNA (tRNA) molecules are approximately 80 nucleotides in length. Their secondary structure includes four short double-helical elements and three loops (D, anti-codon, and T loops). Further hydrogen bonds mediate the characteristic L-shaped molecular structure. tRNAs have two regions of fundamental functional importance: the anti-codon, which is responsible for specific mRNA codon recognition, and the 3' end, to which the tRNAs corresponding amino acid is attached (by aminoacyl-tRNA synthetases). tRNAs cope with the degeneracy of the genetic code in two manners: having more than one tRNA (with a specific anti-codon) for a particular amino acid; and 'wobble' base-pairing, i.e. permitting non-standard base-pairing at the 3rd anti-codon position. Lineage: Bacteria; Pseudomonadati; Pseudomonadota; Gammaproteobacteria; Alteromonadales; Alteromonadaceae. The record is from RNAcentral.